CUGAGAGGGUGAACGGCCACAUUGGGACUGAGACACGGCCCAAACUCCUACGGGAGGCAGCAGUGGGGAAUAUUGCACAAUGGGGGAAACCCUGAUGCAGCGACGCCGCGUGAGCGAUGAAGUAUUUCGGUAUGUAAAGCUCUAUCAGCAGGGAAGAAAAUGACGGUACCUGACUAAGAAGCCCCGGCUAACUACGUGCCAGCAGC
This 206-nucleotide ribosomal RNA is filed under the name uncultured bacterium. RNAcentral describes it as "partial 16S ribosomal RNA". It matches the Rfam family "Bacterial small subunit ribosomal RNA", at positions 292 to 515 of the family's 1533-position model. The record is from RNAcentral.